RNAcentral lists this ribosomal RNA (1338 nucleotides) under metagenome. RNAcentral describes it as "bacterial SSU rRNA". It matches the Rfam family "Bacterial small subunit ribosomal RNA", at positions 8 to 1346 of the family's 1533-position model. The record is from RNAcentral.
AGAGUUUGAUCCUGGCUCAGGAUGAACGCUAGCGGCAGGCCUAACACAUGCAAGUCGAGGGGUAACAGGAGAGCUUGCUCUCGCUGACGACCGGCGCACGGGUGAGUAACGCGUAUGCAACCUACCUUUAACAGGGGGAUAGCCCGAAGAAAUUCGGAUUAAUACCCCAUACAACUAUAGAUAAGCAUUUAUUUAUAUUUAAAACUCCGGUGGUUAAAGAUGGGCAUGCGUGACAUUAGAUAGUUGGUAAGGUAACGGCUUACCAAGUCUACGAUGUCUAGGGGGUCUGAGAGGAUGGUCCCCCACACUGGUACUGAGACACGGACCAGACUCCUACGGGAGGCAGCAGUGAGGAAUAUUGCGCAAUGGAGGAAACUCUGACGCAGCCAUGCCGCGUGCAGGAUGACAGCCCUACGGGUUGUAAACUGCUUUUAUACAGGAAGAAUUUUCCGCACGUGUGCGGGAUUGACGGUACUGUACGAAUAAGCACCGGCUAACUCCGUGCCAGCAGCCGCGGUAAUACGGAGGGUGCAAGCGUUAUCCGGAUUUAUUGGGUUUAAAGGGUGCGUAGGCGGAGUAAUAAGUCAGUGGUGAAAUCCUGCAGCUUAACUGUAGAAUUGCCAUUGAUACUGUUAUUCUUGAGUUCGAUUGAGGUAGGCGGAAUGUGUAAUGUAGCGGUGAAAUGCUUAGAUAUUACACAGAACACCGAUUGCGUAGGCAGCUUACUAAGUCGAUACUGACGCUGAGGCACGAAAGCGUGGGGAGCGAACAGGAUUAGAUACCCUGGUAGUCCACGCCGUAAACUAUGAUCACUAGCUGUUGGCGAUACAUCGAUCAGCGGCAAAGCGAAAGCAUUAAGUGAUCCACCUGGGGAGUACGGUCGCAAGAUUGAAACUCAAAGGAAUCGACGGGGGCCCGCACAAGCGGUGGAACAUGUGGUUUAAUUCGAUGAUACGCGAGGAACCUUACCUGGGCUUAAAUGCAGAUUGACGUUUCGGGAAACCGGAAUUCCCUCCGGGGCGAUUUGCAGGGUGCUGCAUGGUUGUCGUCAGCUCGUGCCGUGAGGUGUCGGGUUAAGUCCCAUAACGAGCGCAACCCCUAUCGUUAGUUGCCAGCGGAUAAUGCCGGGGACUCUAACGAAACUGCCGGUGUAAACCGAGAGGAAGGUGGGGAUGACGUCAAAUCAGCACGGCCCUUAUGUCCAGGGCUACACACGUGUUACAAUGGUCGGUACAGAGGGCAGCUACCUGGUGACAGGAUGCUAAUCUCGAAGCCGGUCUUAGUUCGGAUCGAAGUCUGCAACUCGACUUCGUGAAGCUGGAAUCGCUAGUAAUCGCG